UAGGGAAUCUUCGGCAAUGGGGGGAACCCUGACCGAGCAACGCCGCGUGAGUGAAGAAGGUUUUCGGAUCGUAAAGCUCUGUUGUUAAGGAAGAACGAGUGUGAGAAUGGAAAGUUCAUACUGUGACGGUACUUAACCAGAAAGGGACGGCUAACUACGUGCCAGCAGCCGCGGUAAUACGUAGGUCCCGAGCGUUGCCCGGAUUUAUUGGGCGUAAAGCGAGCGCAGGCGGUUAGAUAAGUCUGAAGUUAAAGGCAGUGGCUCAACCAUUGUAGGCUUUGGAAACUGUUUAACGUGAGUGCAGAAGGGGAGAGUGGAAUUCCAUGUGUAGCGGUGAAAUGCGUAGAUAUAUGGAGGAACACCGGUGGCGAAAGCGGCUCUCUGGUCUGUAACUGACGCUGAGGCUCGAAAGCGUGGGGAGCGAACAGG
This 429-nucleotide ribosomal RNA is filed under the name Bacteroidota bacterium. Its description in RNAcentral is "Bacteroidetes bacterium partial 16S ribosomal RNA". It matches the Rfam family "Bacterial small subunit ribosomal RNA", at positions 355 to 776 of the family's 1533-position model. The record is from RNAcentral. Lineage: Bacteria; Pseudomonadati; Bacteroidota.